ACACCUCAACUCUCACGGUUUGCCGUGAUGAGCUUGGUCUUUGGAGGUCUUGCCGGCCCAUGGUCGGCUCCUCUCAAAUGAAUCAGCUUGCCAGUGUUUGGUGGCAUCGCAGGUGUGAUAACUAUCUACGCUUGUGGUUCUCCACCAGGUAACCUUCAGUGAUGGAGGUUCGCUGGGGCUCACAAAUGUCUCUCCUCGGUGAGGACAGCUUCUCGAAC
This 218-nucleotide unclassified non-coding RNA is filed under the name uncultured Tomentella. RNAcentral describes it as "sequence contains ITS2". Lineage: Eukaryota; Fungi; Basidiomycota; Agaricomycetes; Thelephorales; Thelephoraceae. The record is from RNAcentral.